Molecule: transfer RNA, 77 nt
Filed under: Paenibacillaceae bacterium ZCTH02-B3
Lineage: Bacteria; Bacillati; Bacillota; Bacilli; Caryophanales; Paenibacillaceae
Description: tRNA-Asp
Rfam family: tRNA
About the family: Transfer RNA (tRNA) molecules are approximately 80 nucleotides in length.
Source: RNAcentral
GGAGCUGUGGUGCAGAGGCCUAGCACGCCAGCCUGUCACGCUGGAGAUCGCGGGUUCGAAUCCCGUCAGCUCCGCCA